GAUGAACGCUGGCGGCGUGCCUAAUACAUGCAAGUCGAGCGAACAGACGAGGAGCUUGCUCCUCUGACGUUAGCGGCGGACGGGUGAGUAACACGUGGAUAACCUACCUAUAAGACUGGGAUAACUUCGGGAAACCGGAGCUAAUACCGGAUAAUAUAUUGAACCGCAUGGUUCAAUAGUGAAAGACGGUUUUGCUGUCACUUAUAGAUGGAUCCGCGCCGCAUUAGCUAGUUGGUAAGGUAACGGCUUACCAAGGCAACGAUGCGUAGCCGACCUGAGAGGGUGAUCGCCCACACUGGAACUGAGACACGGUCCAGGCUCCUACGGGAGGCAGCAGUAGGGAAUCUUCCGCAAUGGGCGAAAGCCUGACGGAGCAACGCCGCGUGAGUGAUGACGGUCUUCGGAUCGUAAAACUCUGUUAUUAGGGAAGAACAAAUGUGUAAGUAACUAUGCACGUCUUGACGGUACCUAAUCAGAAAGCCCCGGCUAACUACGUG
This 497-nucleotide ribosomal RNA is filed under the name uncultured bacterium. RNAcentral describes it as "partial 16S ribosomal RNA". It matches the Rfam family "Bacterial small subunit ribosomal RNA", at positions 28 to 507 of the family's 1533-position model. The record is from RNAcentral.